This 253-nucleotide ribosomal RNA is filed under the name uncultured prokaryote. Its description in RNAcentral is "partial 16S ribosomal RNA". It matches the Rfam family "Bacterial small subunit ribosomal RNA", at positions 525 to 777 of the family's 1533-position model. The record is from RNAcentral.
ACAGAGGCCUCGAGCGUUAGGCGGAAUCACUGGGCUUAAAGCGUGUGUAGGCGGAUCGUUAAGUGUCUUGUGAAAUCCCACGGCUCACCCGUGGAACGGCUGGGCAUACUGGCGAUCUUGGGCCGACCAGGGGCAACUGGAACAAGCGGUGGAGCGGUGAAAUGCGUAGAUAUCGCUUGGAACGCCGAAGGUGAAAACAGGUUGCUGGGGUCGCGCCGACGCUGAGACACGAAAGCCAGGGGAGCAAACGGGA